RNAcentral lists this non-coding RNA (30 nucleotides) under Mus musculus (house mouse). Lineage: Eukaryota; Metazoa; Chordata; Mammalia; Rodentia; Muridae. The record is from RNAcentral.
CAGACAGUACCUGUCGAAUAAAAUGCCGAA